This 493-nucleotide ribosomal RNA is filed under the name uncultured bacterium. Its description in RNAcentral is "partial 16S ribosomal RNA". It matches the Rfam family "Bacterial small subunit ribosomal RNA", at positions 29 to 507 of the family's 1533-position model. The record is from RNAcentral.
AGUGAACGCUGGCGGUAGGCCUAACACAUGCAAGUCGAACGGCAGCACAGUAAGAGCUUGCUCUUACGGGUGGCGAGUGGCGGACGGGUGAGGAAUACAUCGGAAUCUACUUUUUCGUGGGGGAUAACGUAGGGAAACUUACGCUAAUACCGCAUACGACCUACGGGUGAAAGCAGGGGAUCUUCGGACCUUGCGCGAUUGAAUGAGCCGAUGUCGGAUUAGCUAGUUGGCGGGGUAAAGGCCCACCAAGGCGACGAUCCGUAGCUGGUCUGAGAGGAUGAUCAGCCACACUGGAACUGAGACACGGUCCAGACUCCUACGGGAGGCAGCAGUGGGGAAUAUUGGACAAUGGGCGCAAGCCUGAUCCAGCCAUACCGCGUGGGUGAAGAAGGCCUUCGGGUUGUAAAGCCCUUUUGUUGGGAAAAGAAAAGCAGCAGGUUAAUACCCCGCUGUUCUGACGGUACCCAAAGAAUAAGCACCGGCUAACUUCGUG